UCCGUCAUGGGAGAUGGCAUGCCUCCCCGAACCGCCUGACGGCUGAUGAUGCCUACCGGCCA
Molecule: non-coding RNA, 62 nt
Filed under: Burkholderiales bacterium
Lineage: Bacteria; Pseudomonadati; Pseudomonadota; Betaproteobacteria; Burkholderiales
Description: Fluoride sequence
Rfam family: Fluoride riboswitch aptamer (crcB RNA motif)
Source: RNAcentral